CCUUACCCCACCCUUGCCACUUCUACUCUUUCGCAGGAGGAGAGGCAUGGUAGGGAAAGAACUGUUGGGUGGGGGGCUUGUUUCUGUAAACUCCCUGCCCCCUCCACUGAGCUUUAAUCUGGAAGUGAGAAGUUAUUUGGAGGUGAGAAGAAAUUUGGGGUGAGAGAUGGUCUUGAGAGGAGGCCCAAAUGAAAAGGCGAAGGCAGUGGCUGAAAAGACUCCUGGCUAAGACUUGCAGGACGAUGCUAACUGUGAAAGACAUGGGCUGGCUAGGGUCUAAGGGAAAGGCUGAGAUCAGAGACUGAGUUCGUCAGGCACCAGAGAUGAGCCAGGGUUGUGAGUCCAAUCCCCUGCUGCAAGGCAAGUGGCUGUCCUCACUCCAGUGAGGGAGGGGGUGAGGGUGGGGGAGGAUACCGCUCUGUCUGCAGCCUAGGCUUUGUGGCCAAAAUGGGGACCCCCUGCGGUGCCCUUGUCAAGCGGUGGUCAAACCAUAAUCUCUUUUCACUGGGGCCAAACUGGAGCCCAGAUGGGUUAAUUUCCAGGGUCAGACCCCUUACAGUCCUCCUCCCGGACCCCCUCCCGCCUGUUUUUCCUUCCCUACUCCUUUCAAGUCUAGUAAAAUAAGCAUUUGGAAGGCGGGGGAGUCCUGUCUGCUAGAGUCCUAACGCAGAGAUGCCCGAGAAGGUUUCGGAGAGGAGGCCAAAGAGCCGAGUGGUAGAUACAGUCUGCUACUUUUUCAUUCUCUAGGAAAGGCGGGAGGCAGAACGAAGAAGAAUGUUUUAUUUGGUUUCAUACCCUGAAAAGAAGUGAUGACUUGAUGCUUUUCAAAACAGGAAUGCAUUCCCCCCCCCCCCCCCUGUCUUUGUUAUAAGAGACAAAGCGGGAAACAAAAGUGUCUCCCGGAGGAGAGGCCUAACUGUGAAGACAGUAGCUUUUACAGGCAGAGCUGCAGAAAUCGGAGGUUUCCCCUGGGUUGUUAAUUUGGUUGAGAUAAACAUUCCUUUUUAAGGAAAAGUGAAGGGCUGCUUUCCUAAGCGUCCGGCCACACGUUUUGACUUGGAUAAAGGAAACGCAAGUUUUGUUAUUUGUUUUAAACAGAUUUAAUUCAGAACAUAUGAUCUAAAAGACUCCGGUAAACUGCUUAAUGAAAUCUUCCUCCAUUCUACGCCCCCAUAACCCAAGUUUUGAUUUUCUGCCUUCUUUCUUCCGUCCAAUUUGGGAUUUUAGUUGUUUUGUUUUGUUUCUUUCCUCCAGACAGGGUCUCUCUGUGUAGCCCUGACCAUCCAGGAACUAGCUCUGUAGACAAGGCUGGCCUCGAACUCACAGAGAUCCACCUGCCUCUGCCUCUCAAUUGCUGGGAUUAAAGGCCUGGUCCACCAGGCCUGGCUUCCCUUCCCAAUUUGUAUCCUUCAAGACAAAAGAAGAGACACAAUGCUCACAUUAGUAAAGGCAAAAGGCAAACAUUUUAAUUUAAAGGUUUCAAAACAUUUUGCCCCCUUUUCCCUUGUAGUUCUAGAGAUUUCAACACGUAUGAGACACGUGCACUGACCUCUCUCUGGUAGCAUGCAGGAGUAAAGAAUGAUUCUGAAGCAAGAGGAGAGUUUGAACCAGGUUUCAAGAAUGUCAUUAAGGGAAGGUGAACUUCAAAGUGAUUCUAGAGUUCUUUGAAAUGUGCUAGAAGACUUACAUUUAUUAAUCUUAAAUCAUGUACUCUUUUUUUUUUUUUUCCCCUGCAAUAGAAGUCUGGUUCUUUGGCAUAAUGGUGUAAAGUUAAGCAGAGCAUCAUGGGAGUUAACCUUUACCCUACCUUUGACACUGACUGUCCUCCGAUUUUGCAAAGCUCUUCAGUUUCUCAGAGCAGUUUUUAAAUGCCAACCAGGGGGGUACUGUCAGGAGUACAAAUUACUUUCUAUAUGUCACGAUCAGUUGACUGGAGCUGCUCUUAUAGUUAAAGUGAUCUUGUAUUUCUUAAAACUUUCAAAGUGAUCUCACCUGUCAGGUUUUUUUUUUUUUUUUGAGCUGCCACUACACAGGUUUGGCAUCUUAUAUGUUUUAUCUCUUAAGUGCAUGUGAAAUUUGUAAAAUAGAGACAGUGCAGUAUGUAUAUUUUGUAAAUCUCCCAUUUUUGUAAGAAAAUAUAUAUUGUAUUUAUACAUUUUUACUUUGGAUUUUUGUUUUGUUCUACCUUUAAAGAUCUACAAUGGAGCCCCACUUUAUCACGUGUACAGAUCACAAAUAAAUUUUUUAAAAAAUACAAAA
RNAcentral lists this long non-coding RNA (2259 nucleotides) under Rattus norvegicus (Norway rat). RNAcentral's name for it is "long non-coding RNA NONRATT029420". The record is from RNAcentral. Lineage: Eukaryota; Metazoa; Chordata; Mammalia; Rodentia; Muridae.